RNAcentral lists this ribosomal RNA (777 nucleotides) under uncultured Neocallimastigales. Its description in RNAcentral is "partial large subunit ribosomal RNA". It matches the Rfam family "Eukaryotic large subunit ribosomal RNA", at positions 19 to 621 of the family's 3401-position model. The record is from RNAcentral. Lineage: Eukaryota; Fungi; Neocallimastigomycota; Neocallimastigomycetes; Neocallimastigales.
CGAGCACGCGCGUGUGGCAUAUCAAUAAGCGGAGGAAAAGAAACUAACAAGGAUUCCCUUAGUAACGGCGAGUGAAGCGGGAAGAGCUCAAAUUUGAAAUCUUCAAGGUUCUACCUUGACGAAUUGUAGUUUAUAGAAGUGUUUUCUGUUAGUGGAGUGGCAAAAGUUCUUUGGAAUAGGACAUCAUAGAGGGUGAGAAUCCCGUAUUUGGUCAUUCCUCCUAGCGUUGUGAUACACUUUCAACGAGUCGGAUUGUUUGGGAAUGCAGUCCAAAAUGGGUGGUAAAUUUCAUCUAAAGCUAAAUAUUGGCGGGAGACCGAUAGCGAACAAGUACCGUGAGGGAAAGAUGAAAAGAACUUUGAAAAGAGAGUUAAACAGUACGUGAAAUUGUCAAAAGGGAAGCGUUUGACACCAGUGUUGUUUUUCCGAAAAUCAAUUACGAAUGUUUUGUUUUUAAGGAGUUAUGACUUCAUCGGCUUGCUUCCUUUCUUUACUGAAACUUUCUUAAUGCACUUUUCGGUUAACAAGUCAACAUCAAUUUCUUUUGUUGUAAAAGGGUAUGAGGAAGGUGGCUUUCUUUUCGGAGAAAGUGUUUAUAGCCUUGUGCCUCUGCAAUCGGAGAGAUUGAGGUCUGCAGCGUAGAUCCUUCGGGGUUAGAUACAGUUUGUGCUAAGUUAUAGCUUUUCAUAGACAACUUGUUGACUAUGUUAAGUCUUGUAGCUUACUCGCUUAUGCUAUUUUACCUACGCUUAGGAUGUUGAACUCUAUCACACACAG